GAACGCAUUGUGGUUGAAAUGAUAUGAAGAACUUGUUCAGAUUUGAUUUUCAACAUUGCAAUGAGUGGCGAACGGGUGAGUAACACGUGGGAAACCUACCUCUUAGCAGGGGAUAACAUUUGGAAACAAAUGCUAAUACCGUAUAAUAAUUAAAACCGCAUGGUUUUAGUUUAAAAGAUGGUCUUGCUAUCACUAAGAGAUGGUCCCGCGGUGUAUUAGUUAGUUGGUGAGGUAAUGGCUCACCAAGACAAUGAUACAUAGCCGAGUUGAGAGACUGACCGGCCACAAUGGGACUGAGACACGGCCCAUACUCCUACGGGAGGCAGCAGUAGGGAAUCUUCCACAAUGGACGAAAGUCUGAUGGAGCAACGCCGCGUGUGUGAUGAAGGGUUUCGGCUCGUAAAACACUGUUGUAAGAGAAGAAUGACAUUGAGAGUAACUGUUCAAUGUGUGACGGUAUCUUACCAGAAAGGAACGGCUAAAUACGUGCCAGCAGCCGCGGUAAUACGUAUGUUCCAAGCGUUAUCCGGAUUUAUUGGGCGUAAAGCGAGCGCAGACGGUUAUUUAAGUCUGAAGUGAAAGCCCUC
This 587-nucleotide ribosomal RNA is filed under the name uncultured Weissella sp. RNAcentral describes it as "bacterial SSU rRNA". It matches the Rfam family "Bacterial small subunit ribosomal RNA", at positions 31 to 605 of the family's 1533-position model. Lineage: Bacteria; Bacillati; Bacillota; Bacilli; Lactobacillales; Lactobacillaceae. The record is from RNAcentral.